GACGAACGCUGGCGGCGUGCCUAAUACAUGCAAGUCGAACGCUGAAGGAGGAGCUUGCUUCUCUGGCUGAGUUGCGAACGGGUGCGUAACGCGUAGGUAACCUGACUGGCAGUGGGGGAUAACUUUUGGUAACGAUAGCUAAUACCGCAUAAUAGUAGAUGUCGCAUGACAUUCGCUUAAACGGUGCAAUUGCCUCACUACCAGAUGGCCAUGCGUUGUAUUAGCUAGUUGGGGGGGGAACGGCCCAACAAGGCCACGAUACAUAGCCGGCCUGAGAGGGAGAUCGACCAAACUGGGACUGGGACACGGCCCAGGCUCCGUCGGGGGGCAGCAGGAGGGAAUCUUCGGAAAUUGGCGGAAAGCUGACCGAAGAACGCCGCGGGAGGGAAAAAGGGUCUCGGGUCGGAAAACCCUGUUGUAAGGGAAGAACGAGUGGGAGAGUGGAAAGUUCACGCUGUGACGGUACCUAACCAGAAAGGAACGGCUAACUACGUG
This 495-nucleotide ribosomal RNA is filed under the name uncultured bacterium. Its description in RNAcentral is "partial 16S ribosomal RNA". It matches the Rfam family "Bacterial small subunit ribosomal RNA", at positions 28 to 507 of the family's 1533-position model. The record is from RNAcentral.